AUUACUAGUCUGAUUACUUGACCACCGAGCUACGACUGCCCUGCCGCGAGUCGACUCUGGUGACUCUACCACACGCGAUGACAUCGACACGACCCACCGAACGGAGCCCGCCGGGCAGACCGACACCCCGCCGGAGUGACCGAAAUACAAACCCGAGCCGAUCCUCUCGGCUCCCGCGGCUCUCGCCGGCAGAGGUGAACGAAGGACGAUACGAGACGAGAGAUCGGACCGUUUGAAGACGAAGGAGAUCCGAUCGUCGACGAUCCUACUGGCCGACCGGACUACUUAAAUUACUCUCGAUGCUGUUCUAAGCAGAUACCCGUACCAUCGAGGCCAAGGACCGGCCCUUGGGAAUAAACGUAGCUCGCAUACCAGUAGUAACGGAAGACCAUGUAUCCAGCUCCUGCAGCAUCAAGCACUGACGAGCGAAUACCGGCACGGGUCUCUGGAGUGCGUCUUCUCGGUUCUUACUAAUUUUCUGACCGAUGAUUUGUUGUUAGCACCAUUAAAAGACUCAUUUUUA
Molecule: long non-coding RNA, 523 nt
Organism: Trichomycterus rosablanca
Lineage: Eukaryota; Metazoa; Chordata; Actinopteri; Siluriformes; Trichomycteridae
Exons: 2
Source: RefSeq, a predicted model, not a curated record